AAGUCGAGGGGAAACGACAUCGAAAGCUUGCUUUUGAUGGGCGUCGACCGGCGCACGGGUGAGUAACGCGUAUCCAACCUGCCUCACACUGGGGGAUAACCUUGCGAAAGUAAGACUAAUACCCAAUGACGUCUCUAGAAGACAUCUGAAAGGGAUUAAAGAUUUAUCGGUGAUGGAUGGGGAUGCGUCCCAUUAGCUUGUUGGCGGGGUAACGGCCCACCAAGGCAACGAUGGAUAGGGGUUCUGAGAGGAAGGUCCCCACAUUGGAACUGAGACACGGUCCAAACUCC
Molecule: ribosomal RNA, 290 nt
Filed under: uncultured Prevotellaceae bacterium
Lineage: Bacteria; Pseudomonadati; Bacteroidota; Bacteroidia; Bacteroidales; Prevotellaceae
Description: partial 16S ribosomal RNA
Rfam family: Bacterial small subunit ribosomal RNA
Source: RNAcentral